This is a non-coding RNA of Schistosoma margrebowiei, 46 nucleotides long. NCBI's taxonomy places the organism in Eukaryota, Metazoa, Platyhelminthes, Trematoda, Strigeidida, Schistosomatidae. The record is from Rfam.
GCACUGCUGACGAGUCCCAUACCAAAACGAAACGGCCGUUCAGUGC